ACUCGGAAGACGCGGCGUUCUGACGCAGCGGCCUUUCGGAGGCGUUUCGGGGAGGAAACGUCCGCUCCGUAGAGAGCGAAAGAAAGCCCGCCGCGAUGUAUCCCCCGCGGCGGGCUUUUUCGUGCCCGGAC
Molecule: small RNA, 131 nt
Filed under: Brevundimonas sp. Root1279
Lineage: Bacteria; Pseudomonadati; Pseudomonadota; Alphaproteobacteria; Caulobacterales; Caulobacteraceae
Description: Caulobacter sRNA CrfA
Rfam family: Caulobacter sRNA CrfA
Source: Rfam by way of RNAcentral